GUGUCAGCCGCCGCGGUAAGACGAACCGUGCGAACGUUGUUCGGAAUCACUGGGCUUAAAGGGCGCGUAGGCGGGCUGUCAAGUCCGGGGUGAAAUCCUCCAGCUCAACUGGAGAAUGGCCUCGGAUACUGAUGGUCUCGAGGAGGAUAGGGGCACACGGAACUGUGGGUGGAGCGGUGAAAUGCGUUGAUAUCCACAGGAACUCCGGUGGCGAAAGCGGUGUGCUGGAUCCUUUCUGACGCUGAUGCGCGAAAGCCAGGGGAGAAAACGGGAUUAGAUACCCCGGUAGUCC
RNAcentral lists this ribosomal RNA (292 nucleotides) under uncultured bacterium. RNAcentral's name for it is "partial 16S ribosomal RNA". It matches the Rfam family "Bacterial small subunit ribosomal RNA", at positions 505 to 796 of the family's 1533-position model. The record is from RNAcentral.